This is a non-coding RNA of Myotis brandtii (Brandt's bat), 81 nucleotides long. NCBI's taxonomy places the organism in Eukaryota, Metazoa, Chordata, Mammalia, Chiroptera, Vespertilionidae. The record is from Rfam.
AGGCCUGAAGAGAGAGGCAGGGUCUGAUUCACAGCCUCCGUAGCAGCUGUUGAUCAGCUGUUGCCUCUCUCUUUCUAUACG